GGGGGUGACCGGUUUCGACAGGUUGACUUUAGGGGCGCGGAGCGCAGGCGGGGGUUGGCCGGCUGGCCCCCUUAUCAAGCCGACUAAAACAAAACUGCCAACGACAAUCUCGAACUGGCAAUUGCUGCCUGAUCUUCAGGUAACAAGCGGGUGCCCGUGAUCUUCCGGUAGCGG
Molecule: transfer-messenger RNA, 174 nt
Filed under: Holophagales bacterium
Lineage: Bacteria; Pseudomonadati; Acidobacteriota; Holophagae; Holophagales
Description: partial transfer-messenger RNA
Rfam family: transfer-messenger RNA
About the family: Bacterial tmRNA, also known as 10Sa RNA or SsrA, is named for its dual tRNA and mRNA-like properties. Its role is to liberate the mRNA from a stalled ribosome.
Source: RNAcentral